AUGAACCAAGAAAUAUUUUACUCCAUAUAAAAGUGCAGAUAUUACAAAUGUAUGAAAGGUUACAACAAUGUAUUUUAAUGGUUGACAGGGCAGUGUAACAAUAUAAUAUUUAGCAUUUAAUAAAACUGACACUUCACAAAAAGUCAUACGAAAUCAUAGUAUGUGCCGGCUGCGAUUUAUCGGAUGAGUUCGGGUUCUGCUCAGUCUUACGCCUGUAUUCUAAAAGCACACUCACACUCAAAGAGUGAAGAUUCAAUCCGAGCUUGCCUUGAACAGCUGGAGAGUGAGUAGUCACAUAGUAAGGUACGACAUGCACUAACCCUCCAGGUAUUCAAAAACAGUAUUGACACUCGAGAGAAGCUCAGAUUGAACCUUCACUCUUUCAGUGCGAGUGAGCUUUUAGAAUACGGGCGUUAGUCUGUGAAAGAUACGAUGGUCUAGAAGCCUGGCAGAAUUCAAAGAGACAAAAUAGAAGGCCUUUGUUUCCCAGUUAGCAAAACAUGAAUUUGAUAGGAAGCAACGAAAAUACAAUAUUGGAGUAAAACGUCUGAAAAGUUAAGAGUUUGCCAAGAAUUCCGGUAAAAUUUAAUGACAAAGAAAAUUCUGUUUUAUACGCAGGGGAAAUGACUGGGCAAAAUUUCACAAACACCCCCGAAUAAAAUAGUGCAAGCGCCGCCCUUGGUUGAACUGUACCUCACCCUACAUAAAUCCUUUGUCUCAAUUUCAUUAAAUAUUAUUCAUCGUGAUUUUGACUAGACUAAAUUUUGAUCAAGGAAAGAAGAACGAAAUCCUACACCACAGCUAGAAAGAGCGUCUUAGAAUGAGUAAAACUGCAAAGAUUGUUUGCUAAAUGUUGUAAAAUGAAGAAAAUGUAACCCUUGUGAAGUUCGCAAAUUUUGUAUAUAUUUGUAUUACGCGCGGUAAAAAUAACCACUUUCAAAAAUAAUUCUUUUUCCCGCGCGUAAUGCAAAUAUGUACAAAAUUUGCGAACUUCACAGGGCUAUAUUUUACUCAUUGUACAACAUUUAGCAACCAAACUUUGCAAUUUUACUCAUUUUAAGAUGCUCUUUCCGGAUAUGGUCAUUACCAAUGGUAAUGGAUUCGUUCUUCUUGUUUAGAUCAAAAUUUCAUCCAUAGCUGAAAUCAUUCAUUGACAUUAUUUUACUAUUAUUUUAUGUUUUUCAACCUCAACCUCCAGAUACAUUUAAAAAGCCAGCUAACUGUAUAAACUAGAGAAUAAAGCUAAACCAAAACAAUUUUGAAAGGUACGCCAAAAAGAUUUUAGGUUUUGAACACUUUUCAUCGCAGGUACGCGCUGAAAAAAUUGCCUCUUAAAUAAAGACAUAUUUUUCAUUCGGUGUAGGACUGUUCGGUAUACCGAUAUACCGAAAAUAUCGGUAUUAAAUCAAUAUCGGUGUAUAUCGAUACCGGAUAUUCAACCGUACCGAUAUACCGAAAUUUCGGAUAUACCGGAAUUUUUCGGUAUACCGUGUUAAAUUUACCAACUACCGUAUUUACUCGUUCGAGCGCCGCGGCGCUCUUUAAAUUUUUAGAGAUUCAGAUGCGGCGCUCAUUCGGGGGCGGCGCUCAAUCGGGGGCGGCGCUCUUUAAAAAAUAUUUUAUUUGUGAAUUAUAACAAGAACUUUUGACAAUAAAAUAAACAAGUUUUAAAUGUCUUGGUCACUAAAUGUCCCCAUUUUGAUGGCGGAAAGCUUUUACACUGUCUACAAGUUUACAAAAUAUCAAUGUCACUGUCCUCUUCAUGAUCCGAGUCCAGCUGCUGCAUCGUAACCAUUGUUGGAUAUGCCUCCUCGACUUCAGAAGACGUAAAUUCGUCGCAUUGAAAGGAUCCGAUUAAGCGCCGCAUUUGAAAACAAUUAGUGCGGCGCUCAUUCGGGGGCGGCGCUCUUUAAGAAAAUUUGAUCUCAAAUGCGGCGCUCAUUCGGGGGCGGCGCUCAAUCGGGNNNNNNNNNNNNNNNNNNNNAUUUUAGGUUUUGAACACUUUUCAUCGCAGGUACGCGCUGAAAAAAUUGCCUCUUAAAUAAAGACAUAUUUUUCAUUCGGUGUAGGACUGUUCGGUAUACCGAUAUACCGAAAAUAUCGGUAUUAAAUCAAUAUCGGUGUAUAUCGAUACCGGAUAUUCAACCGUACCGAUAUACCGAAAUUUCGGAUAUACCGGAAUUUUUCGGUAUACCGUGUUAAAUUUACCAACUACCGUAUUUACUCGUUCGAGCGCCGCGGCGCUCUUUAAAUUUUUAGAGAUUCAGAUGCGGCGCUCAUUCGGGGGCGGCGCUCAAUCGGGGGCGGCGCUCUUUAAAAAAUAUUUUAUUUGUGAAUUAUAACAAGAACUUUUGACAAUAAAAUAAACAAGUUUUAAAUGUCUUGGUCACUAAAUGUCCCCAUUUUGAUGGCGGAAAGCUUUUACACUGUCUACAAGUUUACAAAAUAUCAAUGUCACUGUCCUCUUCAUGAUCCGAGUCCAGCUGCUGCACCGUAACCAUUGUUGGAUAUGCCUCCUCGACUUCAGAAGACGUAAAUUCGUCGCAUUGAAAGGAUCCGAUUAAGCGCCGCAUUUGAAAACAAUUAGUGCGGCGCUCAUUCGGGGGCGGCGCUCUUUAAGAAAAUUUGAUCUCAAAUGCGGCGCUCAUUCGGGGGCGGCGCUCAAUCGAGUAAAUACGGUAUAUGGCGAAACCAUAACCUUUAUUUUACUACUGAAUGGCAAGAACUUUCUACUGCAAUGAUUUAGAAUUUCCACUUCAGAUUUUUUUAAGAUUUCCACUUCAGAUUUUACACUGAGCACGUGCAUGUCGUUGGAAACAUGUUCGAAACAGCUUCGAAAUGAUCGUUUUCCCUUUUAGAAUUACUCAAAAUUUCCUUCAAACUUCCAUUAAAGAAUUUUCCUUUAUAAUUAUCAAAGGAAAACCGGUAUACCGAUAAUAUCGGUAUAAUUUUUUCGGUAUACCGAUACCGGAAAUUUCUCAUACCGAACCGUUCCUAAUUCGGUGAUGUCGUCAGAUGACGUGUACCACUUCAUUUUCGAAAACCAUCGUGAAAGUAUGUGUUUGAAGUCAACCAGAUAAAUCGCAAGACCGAUAAACGAGUCUAGUAUCUUUGCCCCUGAUCAAUCAACUUUGAAGUACAAAAUUACAAGCGUUAAUGUUUCUUCUAGAUAUACGAUAUAUAAAAGACAAAGUCACCCUGGACAGUACGUUGUUGUUUACAAAUCAUCAAGUCU
This 3235-nucleotide long non-coding RNA is filed under the name Paramuricea clavata. Lineage: Eukaryota; Metazoa; Cnidaria; Anthozoa; Malacalcyonacea; Plexauridae. The record is from RNAcentral.